Pteropus alecto (black flying fox) is the source of this 119-nucleotide non-coding RNA. Lineage: Eukaryota; Metazoa; Chordata; Mammalia; Chiroptera; Pteropodidae. The record is from Rfam.
GUCUAUGGCCAUGCCACCCUGAAUAUGCCUGAUCCUGGCUGAUCUCAGAAGCUAAGCAGGGUCAGGCCUGGUUAGUACUUGGAUAAGAGAUCACCUAGGAAGACCAGGUGCUGUAGGCA